AUUGAACGCUGGCGGCAUGCCUUACACAUGCAAGUCGAACGGUAACAGGUCUUCGGAUGCUGACGAGUGGCGAACGGGUGAGUAAUACAUCGGAACGUGCCUAGUAGUGGGGGAUAACUACUCGAAAGAGUGGCUAAUACCGCCUGAGAUCUACGGAUGAAAGCAGGGGAUCGCAAGACCUUGUGCUACUAGCGCGGCCGAUGGCAGACUAGGUAGUUGGUGGGAUAAAAGCUUACCAAGCCGACGAUCUGUAGCUGGUCUGAGAGGACGAUCAGCCACACUGGGACUGAGACACGGCCAAGACUCCUACGGGAGGCAGCAGUGGGGAAUUUUGGACAAUGGGCGCAAGCCUGAUCCAGCAAUGCCGCGUGCAGGAUGAAGGCCUUCGGGUUGUAAACUGCUUUUGUACGGAACGAAAAGCCCCGGGUUAAUACCCUGGGGUCAUGACGGUACCGUAAGAAUAAGCACCGGCUAACUACGUGCCAGCAGCCGCCGCCG
This 498-nucleotide ribosomal RNA is filed under the name uncultured bacterium. RNAcentral's name for it is "partial 16S ribosomal RNA". It matches the Rfam family "Bacterial small subunit ribosomal RNA", at positions 30 to 523 of the family's 1533-position model. The record is from RNAcentral.